Molecule: ribosomal RNA, 255 nt
Filed under: uncultured bacterium
Lineage: Bacteria
Description: partial 16S ribosomal RNA
Rfam family: Bacterial small subunit ribosomal RNA
Source: RNAcentral
UACGUAGGAGGCGAGCGUUGUCCGGAGUUACUGGGCGUAAAGGGUGCGCAGGCGGCGGUUCGCGUGGAUAGGUGAAAUCUCCUGGCUUACCUGGGAGGAUGGUAUCCAGACGGGAUCGCUUGAGGGUCGGAGAGGGGCGUGGAAUUCCGGGUGGAGCGGUGAAAUGCGUAGAGAUCCGGAGGAACACCGACGGCGUAGGCAGCGCCCUGGACGACACCUGACGCUGAGGCACGAAAGCUGGGGGGAGCGAACAGG